This 775-nucleotide long non-coding RNA is filed under the name Solanum tuberosum (potato). RNAcentral's name for it is "long non-coding RNA (STUB_LNC004245)". Lineage: Eukaryota; Viridiplantae; Streptophyta; Magnoliopsida; Solanales; Solanaceae. The record is from RNAcentral.
CUGCUAAUUCCGGCAGCCUGUGACUGGAUUUGCUUGUGUUGCUCCUGCUCUACUAAGGGUGCAGAUGAAACUGAUCCGCGCUUAAGCUGAUCAGUUUUUGUACUACUACAAACAUGGAGUGGCGGCAGAUUGUGCUUGUGCUGUUGCGGUGCAGCAGAGCUAGAGUCUGGCUUAAUCUGGAGGUGUUGUUGCUGUGGUGCAACAGAAUCAGUUCUGUUACUUGUCAAAGAAGCAGGGGCAGUAGUACAUGUGUUAAUUUUGUCGAUGUUUGUAGUCUGGAAAGUCCCAAAUGAACUCUGAUGACAUCCUUUACUAGCCAAUAACAUCACUGCUCUAGCUUUGUCAGCUGGGAAAUCAUCAAAAACAAUCACUUUACCAUCAUAGAACAUAGUCAAUUGGGCUGCUUUAGGCUCCUUUGGUGCCUCUUUACUGAAAAAGGAAAGCAAACAUAAAUCAGCAUGUGAAAUUACUACUACACAUUCACUAUAUUAAACCCUAUUAUGUAUGCAAGCAGUUUAGUCUUUUAUCUUUUUUUUCAAAAAAAAUAGAGUAUGGAAGGGUAAAUGGGAGAAGCAAGGUGGGAAUCGAACACUAGUAACAAGGUGAAAGCCAAUAAACUAGAUUAGAAAGUAAAAGAUGUAAGAGUUUCAACUUUCAACUUCUACCGACAAUCUAAAAGUUUUUUCAUAUUAAUCGUUCAUAGCAAGUGUAAUUAUAACUUGAAAAUAAACUAGAUUACUUGCUAAAACAGGUCAAAAUACGGGGACGAACCUCG